UACGUAGGGGGCAAGCGUUAUCCGGAAUUACUGGGUGUAAAGGGAGCGUAGGCGGCAUGGUAAGUAAGAUGUGAAAGCCCGAGGCUUAACCUCGGGAUUGCAUUUUAAACUAUCAAGCUAGAGUACAGGAGAGGUAAGUGGAAUUCCUAGUGUAGCGGUGAAAUGCGUAGAUAUUAGGAAGAACACCAGUGGCGAAGGCGACUUACUGGACUGAAACUGACGCUGAGGCUCGAAAGCGUGGGGAGCGAACAGGAUUAGAUACCCCCGUAGUCCCUGAG
Molecule: ribosomal RNA, 278 nt
Filed under: uncultured prokaryote
Description: partial 16S ribosomal RNA
Rfam family: Bacterial small subunit ribosomal RNA
Source: RNAcentral